AACAGUAAGAAAAAGAAAAACAAAACAACCAAAAAAACGUAUAGUGCAGGGGCGCUCUUCACUGCAAUCUCCAGAGCAUGUACCAGACUUGUGCACAGAAUGAGCCUUUCAUGAGAUGAACUAAAAAUAAUAUACCUGGUGUUCUCAAAAGGUUACAGUAAAUUUGUAUUAUGUCUAUAGAGGUAAGAAUUAAGAAACAUUGUUCACCUAGAUAAGUAAAUGAAUAGAAAUAGUUUUAUUAUAGCAAAAUCAUUCCAUUACAAGUUACACACUAAAAGUCAAAUAGUUGUUAUGUUAUCAGAAAGCGUUUUUAAUGAUGUAUCAGUUGAUAACUCAAUUGGGUCCUUCUUCAAAUCACUCACAAAGAAGGAAUUGGAAAGCAUAUGAUUUGCAAGUGGAUUUGUUAUCUAGUCAAUUUAGUCAUUCACUUUCUCAUUUUCUAAAAAGUAUGUAAAAAAGGCUUUGCUAAAAUUUGUAAAAUGGAAAUUUAUUAUUCCUGUUACUCUUUCACUGAGAGGCACCUUGUGUAAUAUCAUAUACACAGAAAGGGUUGGGAAAUUGAAAUAUUGUUAAGUUUUUAUAUACUGCUUUUAUCUUAUCACACAAAUUUUACUGUUUUCACCAAAACCUUGGAGCUGAAAACAGACACAAAGACAUUGGUGAAUGAAAUGUCUCAUUCUCUAUCUCAUCAUUGAGAAUGUAAAAUGCAGAGGAAAUGAGCUUUGUAAAAGAUUCAUGUUUCCCAGAAUACUGCAAUUUUUAUUUUCAAUACUUCAAUAUUUAUACUCUUAGAAAGACAAAGUAUGAAGCCUUGUUAUGAAUUGUUGACUGGAUGAAAGAAGGCAUGCCAUCUUCAUUUUUUUUCUGUAAGCUUCUUGUGAAGUCCUGGCAGAAUAAUGAUCCUGUUGCUUUCAGAGACAACCUCAAUAAUGCAUCCUUAGGUUUUGGUCCUGCCCCCAGAAGCAGACUCUGAGAUGAAGAUUCAUGUAUGAGUGACCUGUUAAGGAAGUAAGUGCUCCCAGGAGGAAGUAGCCAGGGAGUGAGGGAAGCAGAGCAGGACUGGGGAAGAAACAAAUCAGGAGUGAGAUUUCAGGUGAAUCCAAGCAUUGGGGAAUUCUGGAAUGUAAAUCACACCACAGUUUGUCCCAUCUCAAGGCAAGGGAACUGGGCUUUCACAAUCUUGUAUCAGUCAGCCUCUGGCUAUGGGCCUCCCUUGGGCAUGGAGGGCUAGGUGGACACAAACUUCCAGGCAUGUCUCCAGAUAAGACAACUCUAAUAGUUCAAGGACACUUCUAUAAAGAAAGCUGCAGGUAUGAAUCAUUAAUAACAAAACACACAGAAGCUGUGCUUUGGGCAAACAGAGUCAGUAGGAAACUAGGUAACAGCAAUGACAUCAUCCACUACAUUUUAAAUCAGUUUAUUCUCCUUUCCAGUCUCACUCUCUCCAUGUCUUCACUCUUGCUUUCUGAGAUCACAUCCCAAAUAAACUUCCUGCGCCAAAGGCUUUGUCUUAGGUUCUGCUUUCAAGGCAACACAAAUGAAUUCUUCCUCCUUUUAGGAUGAAUAGCUUUCAGGCUUUUCCCCAAACUAAGACUUGGUCUACACCUAGGCAUGUCUGGAGCAGCAGCUUCUGUCUUUAAAGUUGAUUUUAUUUAUUGAGUACCAUCUUAUCAUUUACCUCCCUACAUACAGAGCAAGCAACUGUUUUGUAUAAUU
Molecule: long non-coding RNA, 1716 nt
Organism: Equus caballus (horse)
Lineage: Eukaryota; Metazoa; Chordata; Mammalia; Perissodactyla; Equidae
Source: Ensembl